AGUCGUAACAAGGUUUCCGUAGGUGAACCUGCGGAAGGAUCAUUACCGAGUGCGGGCUGCCUCCGGGCGCCCAACCUCCCACCCGUGACUACCUAACACUGUUGCUUCGGCGGGGAGCCCCCCAGGGGGCGAGCCGCCGGGGACCACUGAACUUCAUGCCUGAGAGUGAUGCAGUCUGAGCCUGAAUACAAAUCAGUCAAAACUUUCAACAAUGGAUCUCUUGGUUCCGGCAUCGAUGAAGAACGCAGCGAACUGCGAUAAGUAAUGUGAAUUGCAGAAUUCAGUGAAUCAUCGAGUCUUUGAACGCACAUUGCGCCCCCUGGCAUUCCGGGGGGCAUGCCUGUCCGAGCGUCAUUGCUGCCCUCAAGCCCGGCUUGUGUGUUGGGUCGUCGUCCCCCCCCGGGGGACGGGCCCGAAAGGCAGCGGCGGCACCGUGUCCGGUCCUCGAGCGUAUGGGGCUUUGUCACCCGCUCGAUUAGGGCCGGCCGGGCGCCAGCCGGCGUCUCCAACCUUAUUUUUCUCAGGUUGACCUCGGAUCAGGUAGGGAUACCCGCUGAACUUAAGCAUAUCAAUAAGCGGAGGA
This 583-nucleotide unclassified non-coding RNA is filed under the name Aspergillus spinulosporus. Its description in RNAcentral is "sequence contains 18S rRNA gene, ITS1, 5.8S rRNA gene, ITS2, 28S rRNA gene". The stretch from base 201 to 354 matches the Rfam family "5.8S ribosomal RNA". The record is from RNAcentral. Lineage: Eukaryota; Fungi; Ascomycota; Eurotiomycetes; Eurotiales; Aspergillaceae.